RNAcentral lists this ribosomal RNA (440 nucleotides) under uncultured bacterium. RNAcentral describes it as "partial 16S ribosomal RNA". It matches the Rfam family "Bacterial small subunit ribosomal RNA", at positions 338 to 795 of the family's 1533-position model. The record is from RNAcentral.
CCUACGGGAGGCAGCAGUAGGGAAUAUUGCUCAAUGGGGGAAACCCUGAAGCAGCAACGCCGCGUGGAGGAUGAAGGUUUUCGGAUUGUAAACUCCUUUUGUUAGAGAAGAUAAUGACGGUAUCUAACGAAUAAGCACCGGCUAACUCCGUGCCAGCAGCCGCGGUAAUACGGAGGGUGCAAGCGUUACUCGGAAUCACUGGGCGUAAAGAGCGCGUAGGCGGGAUAGCAAGUCAGAUGUGAAAUCCUAUGGCUUAACCAUAGAACUGCAUUUGAAACUGUUAUUCUAGAGUAUGGGAGAGGUAGGUGGAAUUCUUGGUGUAGGGGUAAAAUGCGUAGAGAUCAAGAGGAAUACUCAUUGCGAAGGCGGCCUGCUAGAACAUAACUGACGCUGAUGCGCGAAAGCGUGGGGAGCAAACAGGAUUAGAUACCCCGGUAGUC